RNAcentral lists this ribosomal RNA (496 nucleotides) under uncultured soil bacterium. RNAcentral's name for it is "bacterial SSU rRNA". It matches the Rfam family "Bacterial small subunit ribosomal RNA", at positions 26 to 506 of the family's 1533-position model. The record is from RNAcentral.
AGAGUGAACGCUGGCGGUAGGCCUAACACAUGCAAGUCGAACGGCAGCACAGGAGAGCUUGCUCUCUGGGUGGCGAGUGGCGGACGGGUGAGGAAUACAUCGGAAUCUACCUUUUCGUGGGGGAUAACGUAGGGAAACUUACGCUAAUACCGCAUACGUCCUACGGGAGAAAGCGGGGGACCUUCGGGCCUCGCGCCAUUAGAUGAGCCUAGGUCGGAUUAGCUAGUUGGUGAGGUAAUGGCUCACCAAGGCGACGAUCCGUAACUGGUCUGAGAGGAUGAUCAGUCACACUGGAACUGAGACACGGUCAGACUCCUACGGAGCAGCAGUGGGAAUAUUGGACAAUGGGCGAAAGCCUGAAUCCAGCCAUGCCGCGUGUGUGAAGAAGGUCUUCGGAUUGUAAAGCUACUUUAAGUUGGAGGUAAGGUUGUAAACUUAAGUACGUUGACUAACUUUGACGUUUACCGACAAGAAUAAGCAACCGGCUAAACUUCGU